Oncorhynchus keta (chum salmon) is the source of this 552-nucleotide long non-coding RNA. RefSeq lists it as uncharacterized. The record is from RefSeq and is a predicted model, not a curated record. The transcript has 4 exons. NCBI's taxonomy places the organism in Eukaryota, Metazoa, Chordata, Actinopteri, Salmoniformes, Salmonidae.
CAGAGAUGUUCAGGAGGGUGAGGAGUCAAACAGGACAGAGUCAGAGAGAAACAGGAGGGUGAGGAGUCAAACAGGACAGAGUCAGAGAGAAACAGGAGGGUGAGGAGUCAAACAGGACAGAGUCAGAGAGAAACAGGAGGGUGAGGAGUCAAACAGGACAGAGUCAGAGAGAAACAGGAGGGUGAGGAGUCAAACAGGACAGAGUCAGAGAGAAACAGGAGGGUGAGGAGUCACAGGACAGAGUCAGAGAGAAACAGGAGGGUGAGGAGUCACAGGACAGAGUCAGAGAGAAACAGGAGGGUGAGGAGUCAAACAGGACAGAGUCAGAGAGAAACAGGAGGGUGAGGAGUCAAACAGGUAGAAACAGGAGGGUGAGGAGUCACAGGACAGAGUCAGAGAGAAACAGGAGGGUGAGGAGUCAAACAGGUAGAAACAGGAGGGUGAGGAGUCACAGGACAGAGUCAGAGAGAAACAGGAGGGUGAGGAGUCAAACAGGACAGAGUCAGAGAGAAACAGGAGGGUGAGGAGUCAAACAGGACAGAGUCAGAGAGA